RNAcentral lists this transfer RNA (73 nucleotides) under Actinomycetota bacterium. RNAcentral describes it as "tRNA-Ala". It matches the Rfam family "tRNA". From Rfam's summary of the family: Transfer RNA (tRNA) molecules are approximately 80 nucleotides in length. Their secondary structure includes four short double-helical elements and three loops (D, anti-codon, and T loops). Lineage: Bacteria; Bacillati; Actinomycetota. The record is from RNAcentral.
GGGGACGUAGCUCAGUUGGUAGAGCACCUGCUUUGCAAGCAGGAAGUCGCGGGUUCGAGUCCCGCCGUCUCCA